AUUGAACGCGGGCGGCAGGCUUAACACAUGCAAGUCGAACGAGUGGCGGACGGGUGAGUAAUGGCUGGGAAUCUAGCAUAUGGAGGGGGCUAACUACGGGACACUGGAGUUAAUACCGCGUACCAUAGGAUGAGCCCAAGUGGGAUUAGGUAGUUGGUGAGGUAAAGGCUCACCAAGCCGAUGAUCUCUAGCUGGUCUGAGAGGAUGACCAGCCACACUACGACUGCGUCCCGGACUGUCCUCCUUCGUGAGGCAUCCAUCGGGAAUAUCGCCCAAUGGGGUCAUCCUCCCCCAGCCAUGCCGCUUGAAUGAAGACGGCCUGCGAUUUGUAAAGUACUUUCGGUAGCGAGGCGUUAACUACGGAAGAAGCCCCGGCUCACUCCGUGCCAGCCGCCGCGGUAAUAC
RNAcentral lists this ribosomal RNA (405 nucleotides) under uncultured bacterium. RNAcentral's name for it is "partial 16S ribosomal RNA". It matches the Rfam family "Bacterial small subunit ribosomal RNA", at positions 30 to 526 of the family's 1533-position model. The record is from RNAcentral.